CGGCGGACGGGUGAGUAACACGUGGAUAACCUACCUAUAAGACUGGGAUAACUUCGGGAAACCGGAGCUAAUACCGGAUAAUAUAUUGAACCGCAUGGUUCAAUAGUGAAAGACGGUUUUGCUGUCACUUAUAGAUGGAUCCGCGCCGCAUUAACUAGUUGGUAAGGUAACGGCUUACCAAGGCAGCGAUGCGUAGCCGACCUGAGAGGGUGAUCGGCCACACUGGAACUGANACACGGUCCAGACUCCUACGGGAGGCAGCAGGG
RNAcentral lists this ribosomal RNA (266 nucleotides) under uncultured Staphylococcus sp. RNAcentral's name for it is "partial 16S ribosomal RNA". It matches the Rfam family "Bacterial small subunit ribosomal RNA", at positions 96 to 354 of the family's 1533-position model. The record is from RNAcentral. Lineage: Bacteria; Bacillati; Bacillota; Bacilli; Caryophanales; Staphylococcaceae.